Molecule: ribosomal RNA, 468 nt
Filed under: uncultured bacterium
Lineage: Bacteria
Description: partial 16S ribosomal RNA
Rfam family: Bacterial small subunit ribosomal RNA
Source: RNAcentral
GACGAACGCUGGCGGCGUGCUUAACACAUGCAAGUCGAACGGAAAGGCCCUGCUUUUGUGGGGUGCUCGAGUGGCGAACGGGUGAGUAACACGUGAGUAACCUGCCCUUGACUUUGGGAUAACUUCAGGAAACUGGGGCUAAUACCGGGUAGGAGCUCCUGCUGCAUGGUGGGGGUUGGAAAGUUUCGGCGGUUGGGGAUGGACUCGCGGCUUAUCAGCUUGUUGGUGGGGUAGUGGCUUACCAAGGCUUUGACGGGUAGCCGGACUGAGAGGGUGACCGGCCACAUUGGGACUGAGAUACGGCCCAGACUCCUACGGGAGGCAGCAGUGGGGAAUAUUGCACAAUGGGCGGAAGCCUGAUGCAGCAACGCCGCGUGCGGGAUGACGGCCUUCGGGUUGUAAACCGCUUUCGCCUGUGACGAAGCGUGAGUGACGGUAAUGGGUAAAGAAGCACCGGCUAACUACGUG